This is a long non-coding RNA of Mugil cephalus (flathead mullet), 285 nucleotides long. RefSeq lists it as uncharacterized. The record is from RefSeq and is a predicted model, not a curated record. Lineage: Eukaryota; Metazoa; Chordata; Actinopteri; Mugiliformes; Mugilidae. The transcript has 3 exons.
CAGGGAUCCUGAAGUGGCAGAAGUGCAGAGACAGACCUCGUCUGAACCCCAAAGAGUCAACCAGUCCAAGGCUCUCUUCCUUGCUCUUCACAGAUCACUAGCAGUCCUCCAGCUCCAGCCCCCAUACUGAUGAUGUAAUUAUUUCCCAGCGGCACCUGGGAGCCUCGGCCACCGUUCGGAGGCAUCGCUCACAGCCAAUGACAAUUCAAAAAGGCACUCCCAUCAAAACCCAUUGAAGCUCCAUUGAAGCUCAUUCUCUCUGUCUUUCAAUUAACAGGAUAAAAG